This 496-nucleotide ribosomal RNA is filed under the name uncultured bacterium. Its description in RNAcentral is "partial 16S ribosomal RNA". It matches the Rfam family "Bacterial small subunit ribosomal RNA", at positions 29 to 507 of the family's 1533-position model. The record is from RNAcentral.
AUGAACGCUGGCGACGUGCCUAAUACAUGCAAGUCGAGCGAACAGAUGAGGAGCUUGCUCCUCUGACGUUAGCGGCGGACGGGUGAGUAACACGUGGAUAACCUACCUAUAAGACUGGGAUAACUUCGGGAAACCGGAGCUAAUACCGGAUAAUAUAUUGAACCGCAUGGUUCAAUAGUGAAAGACGGUUUUGCUGUCACUUAUAGAUGGAUCCGCGCCGCAUUAGCUAGUUGGUAAGGUAACGGCUUACCAAGGCAACGAUGCGUAGCCGACCUGAGAGGGUGAUCGGCCACACUGGAACUGAGACACGGUCCAGACUCCUACGGGAGGCAGCAGUAGGGAAUCUUCCGCAAUGGGCGAAAGCCUGACGGAGCAACGCCGCGUGAGUGAUGAAGGUCUUCGGAUCGUAAAACUCUGUUAUUAGGGAAGAACAAAUGUGUAAGUAACUAUGCACGUCUUGACGGUACCUAAUCAGAAAGCCACGGCUAACUACGUG